AAUUCUCAACCUCUCUAGUUUUUUGACUAGUAGAUGGCUUGGAUGUGGGGGUUUUGUGCAGGCUUUCACAAGUCAGCUCCCCUGAAAUGCAUUAGCCGGUACUUUCUGACCGUCUAUUGGUGUGAUAAUUAUCUACGCCGUGGACUAUUGGAUAAGUGUACUGCUUCUAAUCGUCUUUUACUAGACAAUUUACAUGACA
This 199-nucleotide unclassified non-coding RNA is filed under the name uncultured Psilocybe. RNAcentral describes it as "sequence contains ITS2". Lineage: Eukaryota; Fungi; Basidiomycota; Agaricomycetes; Agaricales; Strophariaceae. The record is from RNAcentral.